This 465-nucleotide ribosomal RNA is filed under the name Vreelandella stevensii. RNAcentral's name for it is "partial 16S ribosomal RNA". It matches the Rfam family "Bacterial small subunit ribosomal RNA", at positions 338 to 795 of the family's 1533-position model. The record is from RNAcentral. Lineage: Bacteria; Pseudomonadati; Pseudomonadota; Gammaproteobacteria; Oceanospirillales; Halomonadaceae.
CCUACGGGGCGCAGCAGUGGGGAAUAUUGGACAAUGGGCGAAAGCCUGAUCCAGCCAUGCCGCGUGUGUGAAGAAGGCCUUCGGGUUGUAAAGCACUUUCAGUGGGGAAGAAAGCCUUGGGGCUAAUACCCUCGAGGAAGGACAUCACCCACAGAAGAAGCACCGGCUAACUCCGUGCCAGCAGCCGCGGUAAUACGGAGGGUGCGAGCGUUAAUCGGAAUUACUGGGCGUAAAGCGCGCGUAGGCGGUCUGAUAAGCCGGUUGUGAAAGCCCCGGGCUCAACCUGGGAACGGCAUCCGGAACUGUCAGGCUAGAGUGCAGGAGAGGAAGGUAGAAUUCCCGGUGUAGCGGUGAAAUGCGUAGAGAUCGGGAGGAAUACCAGUGGCGAAGGCGGCCUUCUGGACUGACACUGACGCUGAGGUGCGAAAGCGUGGGUAGCAAACAGGAUUACAUACCCGGGUAGUC